UACGUAGGGUGCGAGCGUUAAUCGGAAUUACUGGGCGUAAAGCGUGCGCAGGCGGCCGAGCAAGUCGAGUGUGAAAGCCCCGAGCUUAACUUGGGAACUGCGCUCGAAACUACUUGGCUAGAGUGUGGCAGAGGGAGGUGGAAUUCCUGGUGUAGCAGUGAAAUGCGUAGAUAUCAGGAGGAAUACCGAUGGCGAAGGCAGGUCUCUGGGCUAACACUGACGCUCAUGCACGAAAGCGUGGGGAGCAAACAGG
RNAcentral lists this ribosomal RNA (253 nucleotides) under uncultured bacterium. RNAcentral's name for it is "partial 16S ribosomal RNA". It matches the Rfam family "Bacterial small subunit ribosomal RNA", at positions 524 to 776 of the family's 1533-position model. The record is from RNAcentral.